AUUGAACGCUGGCGGCAGGCUUAACACAUGCAAGUCGAGCGGGGUGAUGGUGCUUGCACUAUCACUUAGCGGCGGACGGGUGAGUAAUGCUUAGGAAUCUGCCUAUUAGUGGGGGACAACAUCUCGAAAGGGAUGCUGAUACCGCAUACGUCCUACGGGAGAAAGCAGGGGAUCACUUGUGACCUUGCGCUAAUAGAUGAGCCUAAGUCGGAUUAGCUAGUUGUUGGGGUAAAGGCCUACCAAGGCGACGAUCUGUAGCGGGUCUGAGAGGAUGAUCCGCCACACUGGGAAUGGGACACGGCCCAGAGUCCUGCGGGAGGCAGCAGUGGGGAAUAUUGGACAAUGGGGGGAACCCUGAUCCAGCCAUGCCGCGUGUGUGAAGAAGGCCUUAUGGUUGUAAAGCACUUUAAGCGAGGAGGAGGCUCUUUUGGUUAAUACCCAAGAUGAGUGGACGUUACUCGCAGAAUAAGCACCGGCUAACUCUGUGCCAGCCGCCGCGGUAA
Molecule: ribosomal RNA, 503 nt
Filed under: uncultured bacterium
Lineage: Bacteria
Description: partial 16S ribosomal RNA
Rfam family: Bacterial small subunit ribosomal RNA
Source: RNAcentral